UGGCCUCUCUGAGAAAACAAGCAAAUAAGUUAAAACUUUCAACAACGGAUCUCUUGGUUCUGGCAUCGAUGAAGAACGCAGCGAAAUGCGAUAAGUAAUGUGAAUUGCAGAAUUCAGUGAAUCAUCGAAUCUUUGAACGCACAUUGCGCCCGCUAGUAUUCUAGCGGGCAUGCCUGUUCGAGCGUCAUUUCAACCCUCAAGCCCUGCUUGGUGUUGGGGCCCUACGGCUGCCGUAGGCCCUGAAAACUAGUGGCGGGCUCGCUAUAACUCCGAGCGUAGUAGUAAAAUAUCUCGCUAGGGAGGUGUCGCGGGUUCCGGCCGUGAAAGCCCCAUCUUUUACACAAGGUUGACCUCGGAUCAGGUAGGAAUACCCGCUGAACUUAAGCAUAUCAAUAAGCGGAGGAAAAGAAACCAACAGGGAUUGCCCCAGUAACGGCGAGUGAAGCGGCAACAGCUCAAAUUUGAAAUCUGGCCUCGGCCCGAGUUGUAAUUUGUAGAGGAUGCUUUUGGUGAGGUGCCUUGUGAGUUCCCUGGAACGGGACGCCAGAGAGGGUGAGAGCCCCGUAUACUUGGACACCGAGCCUCUGUAAAGCUCCUUCGACGAGUCGAGUAGUUUGGGAAUGCUGCUCAAAAUGGGAGGUAUAUCUCUUCUAAAGCUAAAUAUUGGCCAGAGACCGAUAGCGCACAAGUAGAGUGAUCGAAAGAUGAAAAGCACUUUGAAAAGAGGGUUAAAUAGUACGUGAAAUUGUUGAAAGGGAAGCGCUUGUGACCAGACUUGUGCCGGGCUGAUCAUCCAGUGUUCUCA
Molecule: ribosomal RNA, 805 nt
Filed under: Sordariomycetes sp. genotype 155
Lineage: Eukaryota; Fungi; Ascomycota; Sordariomycetes
Description: eukaryotic LSU rRNA
Rfam family: Eukaryotic large subunit ribosomal RNA (bases 348-805)
Source: RNAcentral